Molecule: ribosomal RNA, 253 nt
Filed under: uncultured bacterium
Lineage: Bacteria
Description: partial 16S ribosomal RNA
Rfam family: Bacterial small subunit ribosomal RNA
Source: RNAcentral
UACGUAGGGCGCGAGCGUUGUCCGGAAUUAUUGGGCGUAAAGAGCUCGUAGGCGGCCGGUUGCGUCUGCUGUGAAAUCCCGGGGCUUAACCCCGGGCGUGCAGUGGAUACGGGCCGGCUGGAGGCAGGCAGGGGAGAAUGGAAUUCCUGGUGUAGCGGUGAAAUGCGCAGAUAUCGGGAGGAACACCGGUGGCGAAGGCGGUUCUCUGGGCUGACACUGACGCUCAUGCACGAAAGCGUGGGGAGCAAACAGG